AACAGGAUUAGAUACCCUGGUAGUCCACGCCGUAAACGAUGAGUGCUAAGUGUUGGAGGGUUUCCGCCCUUCAGUGCUGCAGCAAACGCAUUAAGCACUCCGCCUGGGGAGUACGACCGCAAGGUUGAAACUCAAAGGAAUUGACGGGGGCCCGCACAAGCGGUGGAGCAUGUGGUUUAAUUCGAAGCAACGCGAAGAACCUUACCAGGUCUUGACAUCCUUUGACCACUCUAGAGAUAGAGCUUCCCCUUCGGGGGCAAAGUGACAGGUGGUGCAUGGUUGUCGUCAGCUCGUGUCGUGAGAUGUUGGGUUAAGUCCCGCAACGAGCGCAACCCUUAUUGUUAGUUGCCAUCAUUUAGUUGGGCACUCUAGCGAGACUGCCGGUGACAAACCGGAGGAAGGUGGGGAUGACGUCAAAUCAUCAUGCCCCUUAUGACCUGGGCUACACACGUGCUACAAUGGGAAGUACAACGAGUUGCGAAGUCGCGAGGCUAAGCUAAUCUCUUAAAGCUUCUCUCAGUUCGGAUUGUAGGCUGCAACUCGCCUACAUGAAGCCGGAAUCGCUAGUAAUCGCGGAUCAGCACGCCGCGGUGAAUACGUUCCCGGGCCUUGUACACACCGCCCGUCACACCACGAGAGUUUGUAACACCCGAAGUCGGUGAGGUAACCUUUUUGGAGCCAGCCGCCUAAGGUGGGAUAGAUGAUUGGGGGUGAAGUCGUAACAAGGUAACC
This 732-nucleotide ribosomal RNA is filed under the name uncultured bacterium. RNAcentral's name for it is "bacterial SSU rRNA". It matches the Rfam family "Bacterial small subunit ribosomal RNA", at positions 771 to 1501 of the family's 1533-position model. The record is from RNAcentral.